GUCGGCUGCUUUCAUGCUGCCCUGAGCAUUCAAGUCUAGAGAAGUCUUUUUUUGGAAAGAGAAGUUAAAGACGACAUCUUUUAGACCGUGUCAAGGAGGUGUUUGAGAAACAGACGUUAAAUAUAGUAUUUUUAGGACCCUGUCAAGGAGUUUGAGAAAAAGAUGUUAGAGAUGAUAUCUUUUUGAAUCAUGUGGUUAUGCCUUU
Long non-coding RNA from Erpetoichthys calabaricus (reedfish), 205 nucleotides. RefSeq lists it as uncharacterized. NCBI's taxonomy places the organism in Eukaryota, Metazoa, Chordata, Cladistia, Polypteriformes, Polypteridae. The record is from RefSeq and is a predicted model, not a curated record. The transcript has 2 exons.